GACGAACGCUGGCGGCGUGCUUAACACAUGCAAGUCGAACGGAAAGGCCCUGCUUUUGUGGGGUGCUCGAGUGGCGAACGGGUGAGUAACACGUGAGUAACCUGCCCUUGACUUUGGGAUAACUUCAGGAAACUGGGGCUAAUACCGGAUAGGAGCUCCUGCUGCAUGGUGGGGGUUGGAAAGUUUCGGCGGUUGGGGAUGGACUCGCGGCUUAUCAGCUUGUUGGUGGGGUAGUGGCUUACCAAGGCUGUGACGGGUAGCCGGCCUGAGAGGGUGACCGGGCUCAUUGGGACUGAGAUACGCCGCAGACGCCUACGGGAGGCAGCAGUCGGGAAUAUUACACAAUGAGAGGAAGUCUGAUGCAGAGGCGCCGCGUGCGGGAUGACGGCCUUCGGGUUAUGAACCGCUGUAGCCUAUGACGAAGCGGGAGUGACGGUAAUGGGUAAAGAAGCACCGGCUAACUACGUG
Molecule: ribosomal RNA, 468 nt
Filed under: uncultured bacterium
Lineage: Bacteria
Description: partial 16S ribosomal RNA
Rfam family: Bacterial small subunit ribosomal RNA
Source: RNAcentral